Non-coding RNA from Peromyscus maniculatus bairdii (prairie deer mouse), 4531 nucleotides. NCBI's taxonomy places the organism in Eukaryota, Metazoa, Chordata, Mammalia, Rodentia, Cricetidae. The record is from RefSeq and is a predicted model, not a curated record.
GAGGCUGACUGGCUGGCUACAUAUCUGUCUCUGGAACAAUAGGUACCUGUAUUCUGCACGGGCUGCUGGGCAGCGCUAGCACUCUGGAGAAGGUCUGCCUCUGUCUGCGCCUUCCUGGUUCAAUGCAGGCAGAUGAGUGUCCCAGCUGUAACUGAGGCACAGAGUAAUCAACAUAUCGGAGGAGCCAAUUCCCGUGAUGGCAAGAGAGGGAACCGGAGGAGGUGACUACAAUGACAAGAACAUUCUUCUAACAAGUUUUAGCACUGACUAUCCUCCGGAAAAUGGGAUCCAGGAGAAGUGACGCCCUCCUCGAACUGAAAGAUUUGCAGGCUCAUGGAGUCAGCAAAGAAGAGGAGGUUUAUGAACAGCAGCCCUUGCACUCUGCACAGGAUGGCUGCAGGGAAUGCUUUUCGGUCUUGCCCAGAGAAGUGGGCCAGGGUCACUGAGAUACCUCUGAGAUUUAAAUCAGGUGUGUGAAGGAUGCUGGAAACAUGAAUUAGUGUCUGUGUUUUUCUUGUCUUGCACUUAGGCCCACCAAGGGAAGUGGGGAAGGUGGUGGCUUAAGCCUCAAAACACGCCCCUAACACAAACCACUGUCUCCCAGGAUGUGACAUACUCCAAACCUGGCUUUCCCAGACCAUCUCUCUAUAUCUCACCAAGUUUCCAAGUUGUAAAUUUUAAAAGCAUGAUGAUAGUUUUUCAUAUAUUAAAAACAACUUGAUUUGGGAGCUAUGUUAAAAAAUUGAAACUUGAACUUUGAUUCUUUUUUAUCAUUAGUCUAUUUCCUCAUGGAAUAAGUGUUAUUGGUGAUAUGAACUGUGAGAAACUUAAAAAUAUUUCCUUCAAAGUCUCUUCAAAAUAGAUACUCACAUUAUCUUUAAAUGGUGGUUAAGUGGUUCCAAAAAAAAGCAAGCAACAUUAACAGCUUCAGAAAACAUAAACCAUGUCUCUUUAGAAGAUCAAGUUGUGCUUAAUAGCCUAGGCACUUAAUUCGUUCAGGAACUACACCGUCUCCAUGGCUGUAUUUUGUUAGAAAGGAAAGAGAGGCUGUCUCUACAGGUGUCACAGAAAAAUCGAUGCUGAGCCACGGAUUAUUGGAUCCCACGGAACCGUGGAGACUUGGCAGUGAAAUUCUUCCAAAGCAUUCCAUCUGCGCAGGCAGAGGUGUUCCUGGCUUGGGAGGUAUAAAUCCCGUGGGAAGUCAACUGGAGAACAUUUUACGCAUCGCUCAUUCUAUUAUGAGCCUGAAGCUCUUCCCUCUCUCCACAAGGUAAGAGAUUUAUUGUGAAUUGACUAAAAGAGUUAGAGGAUGUUGUGUGCUAGUGGAACCUGCUUUCAAUGUGUAUAUUCUUUGCAAGUUGUAAUGGAGAACGUGCAACUUGUUUUCUAAGUAAAGCAUAAUUGUGGUGAUUAGCCUGCUGGCCUACAUGAUGUCACACUCAUCUGUCCCUGGUGGGAUUGAUGUGUUCUGUCCUGGAGCCUGGGUUCUGUGGUGUUGUCUUCCUCAUGGGAAGUGGUGUGGGGAACUUUUUAUAAUGAAUUUGAGCAGAGUUGAUGAUUCAGGAAGAUUAUUCAGGCUUAAAAGCAGAAAAUGGCCAAAUUACUACUUUAAUCUAGCUAGAAAGUAAUAUAUUUGAAUUAUACUCAUUUGGGCAAUCAGAAAUUGAUUAUAAAAUAUCAAUCUACAAAAAGUGCCAGUUCAUGGUAGUGAAUGUGAUGAUCUUGUCAUUUAUUUUUUGUUCAUUGGUUUUUGAUUUUUAUUUUUUUUUUUAAUUUUUUUUUUUUGAGACAAGUUUUCUCUGUGUUGCCCUGGCUGUUCUGAAACUUGCUCUGUAGAACAGGCUGACCUCAAACUCAAUGAGAUCUGCCUGCCUCUGCCUCCUGAAUGCUGGGAUUAAAGGUAUGCACCACCACCACCACCCAGCUGGAGUUGCUUUUUUUUUUAAUUGGCCAGUUAAAACAGUCUUAUUCUCUUUUCCUUAGCCUAAACUUUUAAAUUGGCUGAAACACUAAACGCUGUGUACAAUCUUUACUCAAACUUGGAUACAUUAGACAGUGUCCUGAUCCUGAUUGUUCCCACAUCACUGUUAUGUGCAGGACAGCUGGCUAGAAGAGCACAGAAUUACACAUAAAAUAGCUGAAAGUGAAAAAUCUUUGGAUUUCCCAUUUGAUGCAGUAAGAUUUUAUCAAGUGCCAUGAAACUGCAUUUGACUUCACCACUGUCCCGUCAGGCUUCAUAUGCUUUGUCUGAACUGUGACUCUUUUGAGAUGUUUAAAACUAGUCUAUUUAAUGAUUAUGUUUAUAUAUAAAUCAAAUUGUUUUUACUCUUUUCCAUCUUCCUUAGCUGUGACUCAGACUAUCAUUGAAGGUACAUAAAUAAAGUGAAAAUGGUGUACAUUAGAGCUCUUUGGGGGAAAGGCCAUGCUAUUUUCUAUUCCUUGCUGAAGUUUAAUGACUGGUGCGUAAAUUCUUUGAAGUGACCAAAGACAAUAGCAGUUUUCAAGGGCUCUGAGGUUAAAAUGAGAAAUAAAGAUUUUUGUGAUGAGUGAUAACCAUAUGUAUACUGUUGCAAUGAUGGAAUAUCUUUAUGAGAAUAAAAUUACAACCACCAAGGGUGAGAUUAUGCAGGAGGUAGACCUGGAUACAGUUCCGGAUAUCUGUGUACACAGUCCAGAAUGCACCGGUCUCUAGCUCGCUCCACUCGGCAUGAGUGUUGUAUGGAUCAAAAUGAAAACAUUUUUUUCAUGCCUAUCAAAAAACAUUAAAUUGGAAUCUCUCAUAAGAUACUGAAUAUUUGUUAUCUACGUCUAAGCAGUGUGAUGCAGCCAUUUUCCUUCUAGACUAAGGUUAAGCGUGUCUCGUGAGUUUUUCAAGUUGAAUAUUUCCUAAUCAGUUUGGGGGAAGCGGCAAUUAUUGAGGCAUCCUUAUCUUUAGUGUGCAAGCGAUCUGAGAUGCCAACAUGGCAGAACACAAUGUCUUUGACUUAGGAACUUUUCCUUUGUUUGCUGCUCGUCAGCCUUUGGGGGUCUUUCUGGACUCCCCUCUCCUCUGUUUCUCUUUGAUGCUUCUAUUGUAUCCCACCUGGCAGUUAAAGGACAGAGGCAACAAUAAGGCUGCCUGGCUACGUUUUCACCGUGCCACCAACUGCGAGUUAAGCUGACAAACAUUUUGAGAGCUCGGCCCAUUUCAUUCACAGCAGGAUGGCAGGAGUUAACACAGGGAAUCAACUAAAAUUUGUGCUUUUAUUGCACAUUUGCAUUGAAUCUCAUCACUGAAAAUGACUAAAUUCUGCUCUGCAAGUGGGUGACUGACUGUCCCUGCCAGCUGGCUAAUAUCAUAAUUAACAAAGUUGCUACCACAUCUGCAAAGUUUAAUCGGAAAAUUUACCAGUGGUAUGAUGGCAUUGUCACCAAGAUCACAAGGGACUCGGAGCCGACUUCUGCUCCGGGUGGAACGGCAAGGCUGUGUAGCUGAGAUGAAAAAUUGUGAACUUGUUCAGCCAAAGGUUAUGCUUCACAUCACCCACCAGGGAGGAUCAUCUCUCAUGAAAACUUUCAAAUUUGAUUUUGAAAAUUUAUUCAGAAAAAUUUAAGCCACGCUUUUUCCCAACACAAGAAAUAAUAUGCUCCAGAGAACCCUCUAAUUCACAGAAAAUGGACUGGGAUAACAUUCGGGUUCUCAUACUACCACAGUCCUCCUGAGAAGGACAGCCAGAGCAACACAGGUAUCAGAAGACAGUGACCGGGACAUCACUCUCACAAAGGUCACAUUCACCUUGCCCAUCUCUGUUUGUGAUAAUAUCCACCCAGGGGAAAUGGGACAGGAGCAUGGGAAACAACUUGAAGCAGGAGUGUACUCAGAGGAGGCUAAUAAUGAAGGGGCCGGGGAAGGAGGCCAAUGCUACAAGGGUUAUCUCACAACCUCAGAUGUUGGAUAAGUCGAAGGAGGCAGAAUCCCUUCUGGAUGACAUUCAGAAAAGCUGGAGUGAUUAUUUGGAAGAGAAAACCCUGCCUAUUCUUUCAAAGGUACAUGAAUAUUGUUGAGACCUGCUCUUCUAAAGGUCCGUCCUUAGAAUCCUACCUUAGACAAAGGAUGAUGCACUCGGAGCCCCGCCACACCUAAAACCACGUUUUGAAGGAUCUGCCAAGCUCACUUUUAAUCAUGAGAAAGAAAUUACCCACAUGGAGACAGCAGAAAAUGAGAAAGUAGAGCUCGUGCUGCGAAUAAUUCCGGCGAGUGCCAAGGGGCUAGUUGAGGAAUGGCUUCAUGAGAUGUUAGUCUAUCUAGAACGAGACCUGAGGAUCUAAGCUGGACCUCUGAGAAAGAAACGACUCCAAGGAAAGACUCCUUUCCAUAUGGUUUUAAUGACUUUUUUACCUGAAUUGUUUAAGAUGCACUAUCAAACCAUAUUCAUCUUUUCUGCUCUCUGUAUUUAUUUUUGCUUGAAUUGCUUUAAUAUUGACUCUUGAACUACAUAUUCAUUUUGGACUCUUAAAAGAGAACUCGAAUAAAACUUUAUUUGUGUUAUUA